CUGUAUGGAAUUAGUAUAACUAAGGUUAUUAACCGAAAAGUUUAGAUUUAGUGUUAAGUUAUUUAGAAAUAAUACGCGAGUAGCGUAGUUAAACUUAACAUUGGGUGUGAUAAAUGAGUCGUUAAACUUUAUAACUGUUAGAAAAACACGCUUAUAAUAAACCUUUAGGGUGAAGAGAUCCUGUAGGAGAAUAUAACCUUCUUAACCUUACCAUUUAGCUAGGGUUAAAAUUACCCUUGUGUUGUGAGUAUGUUAAAAUUGCUAAUUUUGGGUUAUUUGGGUUUAUAGUAAGUGUUUUUCUAAAUGUAACUUUGUGUAAUUAAGUAUCAUUCAAUAAGUAAUUUUAUUAACUUUUUUGUUUCUCAUUUACAACCCGUCUGUUUAUUAAAAACAUUUCCAUAUUAUUAUUUUAUAUGGUAGUACCUGCUCUAUGUGUUAUAAAUGGCCGCAGUAUCUUGACUGUGCGAAGGUAGCAUAAUUAAUUGCCCCUUAAAUGGGGGCUUGUUUGAAUGGUUUGACGUGGUUGUCUUUAACAUAAGAGUUUUUAUUGAAAUUAAUGUUGUGAAUUCAGAAUUUACAUUAGUUAAUUAGACGGAAAGACCCUAGGAUCUUUACAAAUUUUGCUUGGGGCAAGUGAGAAUUAUUUAUUUGCUUUAAGACCCUUAUAAAAGUUUAUAGGUUUAAGUUACCCUAGGGAUAACAGAGUAAUAGUUUAUUAGAGUUCUUAUCGAUUAAACUGUUUGCUACCUCGAUGUUGACUUGGGUUAAUGCUCUGGCGCAGUAGUUAGAGGUUUGGGUCUGUUCGACCCUAAGUACCCCCAUGAGUUGAGUUAAGACCGGCGUAA
RNAcentral lists this ribosomal RNA (845 nucleotides) under Schistocephalus solidus. Its description in RNAcentral is "partial 16S ribosomal RNA". The stretch from base 588 to 845 matches the Rfam family "Bacterial large subunit ribosomal RNA", at positions 2076 to 2624 of the family's 2925-position model. Lineage: Eukaryota; Metazoa; Platyhelminthes; Cestoda; Diphyllobothriidea; Diphyllobothriidae. The record is from RNAcentral.